This 76-nucleotide transfer RNA is filed under the name Patescibacteria group bacterium. RNAcentral's name for it is "tRNA-Val". It matches the Rfam family "tRNA". Rfam says of the family: Transfer RNA (tRNA) molecules are approximately 80 nucleotides in length. Their secondary structure includes four short double-helical elements and three loops (D, anti-codon, and T loops). The record is from RNAcentral.
GGCCGUUUAGCUCAGUGGCUAGAGCGCUUCGUUCACAUCGAAGAAGUCGUGGGUUCGAAUCCCUCAGCGGCCACCA